AGUGAACGCUCGCGGUAGGCCUAACACAUGCAAGUCGAACGGCAGCACAGGAGAGCUUGCUCUCUGGGUGGCGAGUGGCGGACGGGUGAGGAAUACAUCGGAAUCUACUCUGUCGUGGGGGAUAACGUAGGGAAACUUACGCUAAUACCGCAUACGACCUACGGGUGAAAGCAGGGGACCUUCGGGCCUUGCGCGAUUGAAUGAGCCGAUGUCGGAUUAGCUAGUUGGCGGGGUAAAGGCCCACCAAGGCGACGAUCCGUAGCUGGUCUGAGAGGAUGAUCAGCCACACUGGAACUGAGACACGGUCCAGACUCCUACGGGAGGCAGCAGUGGGGAAUAUUGGACAAUGGGCGCAAGCCUGAUCCAGCCAUACCGCGUGGGUGAAGAAGGCCUUCGGGUUGUAAAUCCCUUUUGUUGGGAAAGAAAUCCAGCUGGCUAAUACCCGGUUGGGACGACGGUACCCAAAGAAUAAGCACCGGCUAACUUCGUGCCAGCCGCCGCCGUAA
RNAcentral lists this ribosomal RNA (506 nucleotides) under uncultured bacterium. Its description in RNAcentral is "partial 16S ribosomal RNA". It matches the Rfam family "Bacterial small subunit ribosomal RNA", at positions 29 to 523 of the family's 1533-position model. The record is from RNAcentral.